AGAGGUUGAUCUUGGCUCAGGACGAACGCUGGCGGCGUGCCUAAUACAUGCAAGUAGAACGCACAGUUUAUACCGUAGCUUGCUACACCAUAGACUGUGAGUUGCGAACGGGUGAGUAACGCGUAGGUAACCUGCCUAUUAGAGGGGGAUAACUAUUGGAAACGAUAGCUAAUACCGCAUAACAGUAUGUAACACAUGUUAGAUGCUUGAAAGAUGCAAUUGCAUCGCUAGUAGAUGGACCUGCGUUGUAUUAGCUAGUAGGUAGGGUAAAGGCCUACCUAGGCAACGAUACAUAGCCGACCUGAGAGGGUGAUCGGCCACACUGGGACUGAGACACGGCCCAGACUCCUACGGGAGGCAGCAGUAGGGAAUCUUCGGCAAUGGGGGGAACCCUGACCGAGCAACGCCGCGUGAGUGAAGAAGGUUUUCGGAUCGUAAAGCUCUGUUGUUAAGGAAGAACGAGUGUGAGAAUGGAAAGUUCAUACUGUGACGGUACUUAACCAGAAAGGGACGGCUAACUACGUGCCAGCAGCCGCGGUAAUACGUAGGUCCCGAGCAUUGUCCGGAUUUAUUGGGCGUAAAGCGAGCGCAGGCGGUUAGAAAAGUCUGAAGUGAAAGGCAGUGGCUCAACCAUUGUAGGCUUUGGAAACUGUUUAACUUGAGUGCAGAAGGGGAGAGUGGAAUUCCAUGUGUAGCGGUGAAAUGCGUAGAUAUAUGGAGGAACACCGGUGGCGAAAGCGGCUCUCUGGUCUGUAACUGACGCUGAGGCUCGAAAGCGUGGGGAGCGAACAGGAUUAGAUACCCUGGUAGUCCACGCCGUAAACG
This 825-nucleotide ribosomal RNA is filed under the name uncultured bacterium. RNAcentral describes it as "bacterial SSU rRNA". It matches the Rfam family "Bacterial small subunit ribosomal RNA", at positions 8 to 808 of the family's 1533-position model. The record is from RNAcentral.